AUGCAAGCUAAUUCGAUGAACGUGGAGGCGCUGAAAUCAGUUUUGGAUUCUUAUUGUGCUGCUUCGGGGCAAAUGGUGAGUGUUGAAAAAUCUAGUAUAUUUUUUAGUCCCAACACGAAAGUGGAAGAUAAGGCGCAUAUAUGUACUAUUCUGAAUAUUAUGACUGAAGCUCUCAAUGACAAAUAUUUGGGUCUGCCUUCAAAUGUGGGUAUGGACAAAAGUGAUUGUUUCCAAUUCUUAAUAGAUCGAAUUGUCAUGAAAAUCAGUGGUUGGAAGGAAAAGCUGCUAUCAGCAGGAGGAAAGGAAAUCCUUCUCAAAUCGGUUGUACAAGCUAUCCCAACUUAUACAAUGUCCGUCUUUAAAAUUCCUAAAAAAAUAUGUAAAGGAAUCAUUGACGCGAUGUCGCACUUUUGA
RNAcentral lists this ribosomal RNA (414 nucleotides) under Triticum aestivum (bread wheat). RNAcentral describes it as "partial small subunit ribosomal RNA". The record is from RNAcentral. Lineage: Eukaryota; Viridiplantae; Streptophyta; Magnoliopsida; Poales; Poaceae.